This 490-nucleotide ribosomal RNA is filed under the name Synechococcus sp. CCY0468. RNAcentral's name for it is "bacterial SSU rRNA". It matches the Rfam family "Bacterial small subunit ribosomal RNA", at positions 1045 to 1533 of the family's 1533-position model. Lineage: Bacteria; Bacillati; Cyanobacteriota; Cyanophyceae; Synechococcales; Synechococcaceae. The record is from RNAcentral.
AUGGCUGUCGUCAGCUCGUGUCGUGAGAUGUUGGGUUAAGUCCCGCAACGAGCGCAACCCACGUCUUUAGUUGCCAGCAUUUAGUUGGGCACUCUAGAGAGACCGCCGGUGAUAAACCGGAGGAAGGUGUGGAUGACGUCAAGUCAUCAUGCCCCUUACAUCCUGGGCUACACACGUACUACAAUGCUACGGACAAAGGGCAGCAAACUCGCGAGAGCUAGCAAAUCCCAUAAACCGUGGCUCAGUUCAGAUCGUAGGCUGCAACUCGCCUACGUGAAGGAGGAAUCGCUAGUAAUCGCAGGUCAGCAUACUGCGGUGAAUACGUUCCCGGGCCUUGUACACACCGCCCGUCACACCAUGGAAGUUGGCCAUGCCCGAAGUCGUUACUCCAACCCGUAAGGGAGGAGGACGCCGAAGGUGGGGCUGAUGACUGGGGUGAAGUCGUAACAAGGUAGCCGUACCGGAAGGUGCGGCUGGAUCACCUCCUAAC